This 256-nucleotide ribosomal RNA is filed under the name uncultured bacterium. RNAcentral's name for it is "partial 16S ribosomal RNA". It matches the Rfam family "Bacterial small subunit ribosomal RNA", at positions 521 to 776 of the family's 1533-position model. The record is from RNAcentral.
UAAUACGUAGGGUGCAAGCGUUAAUCGGAAUUACUGGGCGUAAAGGGUGCGCAGGCGGUUCAUUAAGUCUGACGUGAAAGUCCUGGGCUCAACCUGGGGAUGGCGUUGGAGACUGAUGAGCUAGAGUGUGUCAGAGGGGGGUAGAAUUCCACGUGUAGCAGUGAAAUGCGUAGAGAUGUGGAGGAACACCGAUGGCGAAGGCAGCCCCCUGGGAUAACACUGACGCUCAGGCACGAAAGCGUGGGGAGCAAACAGG